This 82-nucleotide microRNA precursor is filed under the name Lotus japonicus. Its description in RNAcentral is "miR11092 stem-loop (lja-MIR11092)". The record is from miRBase by way of RNAcentral. Lineage: Eukaryota; Viridiplantae; Streptophyta; Magnoliopsida; Fabales; Fabaceae.
ACCGUGUGUCAGUUUUGAAAUGGGUUAAAGCCAUUUUAAUGGGUUUCGCCUACCGUGUGUCAGUUUGAAACUGACACACGGU